Molecule: ribosomal RNA, 498 nt
Filed under: uncultured bacterium
Lineage: Bacteria
Description: partial 16S ribosomal RNA
Rfam family: Bacterial small subunit ribosomal RNA
Source: RNAcentral
AUUGAACGCUGGCGGCAUGCCUUACACAUGCAAGUCGAACGGUAACAGGUCUUCGGAUGCUGACGAGUGGCGAACGGGUGAGUAAUACAUCGAAACGUGCCUAGUAGUGGGGGAUAACUACUCGAAAGAGUGGCUAAUACCGCAUGAGAUCUACGGAUGAAAGCAGGGGAUCGCAAGACCUUGUGCUACUAGAGCGGCCGAUGGCAGAUUAGGUAGUUGGUGGGAUAAAAGCUUACCAAGCCGACGAUCUGUAGCUGGUCUGAGAGGACGAUCAGCCACACGGGGACUGAGAAACGGCCCAGACUCCUACGGGAGGCAGCAGUGGGGAAUUUUGGACAAGGGGCGCAAGCCUGAUCCCGCAAUGCCGCGUGCAGGAUGAAGGCAUUCGGGUUGUAAACUGCUUUUGUACGGAACGAAAAGCCCUGGGUUAAUACCCUGGGGUCAUGACGGUACCGUAAGAAUAAGCACCGGCUAACUACGUGCCAGCCGCUGCAGUAA